This 83-nucleotide transfer RNA is filed under the name Enhygromyxa salina. RNAcentral describes it as "tRNA-Leu". It matches the Rfam family "tRNA". From Rfam's summary of the family: Transfer RNA (tRNA) molecules are approximately 80 nucleotides in length. The record is from RNAcentral. Lineage: Bacteria; Pseudomonadati; Myxococcota; Nannocystales; Nannocystaceae.
GCCCGGGUGGCGGAAUGGUAGACGCCGGGGACUUAAAAUCCCCUCUCUUCGGGGGUGCGGGUUCGAGUCCCGCCCCGGGCACC